AACUUGCCACUCAUGCCACCAACCAGGUGAAGAAGGAACUCAUCUCCAUGCCACCAACCAGGUGAUGAAAUGUACAACCCGUGCUCUCCUUCAUGCCACCAACCAGGUGAUGAAAUGUACAACCCGUACUCUAAUAUCAUUUGGCAACUUGCCAUUCACGCCACCAACUAGGUGAUGAAAUGUACAACCCGUACUUUACUUCAUGCCACCAACCAGGUGAUGAAAUGUACGACCCAUACUCUAAUAUCAUUUGGCAACUUGCCACUCAUGCCACCAGCCAGGUGAAGAAGGAACUCAUCUUCAUGCCACCAACCAAGUGAUGAAAUGUACAACCCAUACUCUAAUAUCAUUUAGCAACUUGCCAUUCAUGCCACCAACCACGGGAAGAAGGAACUCAUCCUUGUGCCACCAACCAGGUUAUAAAAUGUGAUGAAAGGUGAUGAAGGAACUCACCUCCGUACCACCAACCAAGUGAUGAAAGCAACUCACCAUUCAUUCCACCUACCAGAAGACGAGUUGUACAACUUGUACAUAUGAACUCCUAGCAUUCACAAAUAAUUAAAAACCCUCAAACUUGACAAUUGAACUAGGGUGAGCAAUUAUGCCCAACAAGAGUUAUAGUCACCAACAAAGUCUUAUUGCAAGCCAACAACAACUGCAGUGCAUGGCAUACGAAGAUCAAGCUAUUCAGCCCUUUUGCAUCUGCUUUAAACAUUUCCCCUAUAUAACAAUGCAAACACUACAACUCGUAGAAAGCUUCACACACUCUUGAUCAGGACAGUGUGAAGCAAAACCAAUUUAUAGUGCCAACAAGAGCUUCAUCAAAGUAGUUCAACCAUAAUUCUCAAAAGCUUCACACACUCUUGAUCAAGACAGUGUCAAGUGAAACCAAUUUAUGGUGCCAACAAGAGGUUCAUCAAUGGAGGGCAACCACAAUUCUUAAAAGCUUCAUACACUCUUGAUCAAGACAGUGUGAAGCAAAACCAAUUUAUGGUGCCAAUAAGAGCUUCAUCAAGGGAGUUCAACCACAAUUCUUAAAAGCUUCACACACUCUUGAUCAAGACAGUGUGGAGCAAAACCAAUUUAUGGUGCCAACAAGAGCUUCAUCAAAGGAGUUCAACCACAAUUCUCAAAAGCUUCACACACUCUUGAUCAAGACAGUGUGAAGCAAAAUCAAUUUAUAGUGCCAACAAGAGCUUCAUCAAUGGAGGGCAACCACAAUUCUCAAAAGCUUCACACA
This 1240-nucleotide long non-coding RNA is filed under the name Malus domestica (apple). Its description in RNAcentral is "long non-coding RNA (MDOM_LNC019135)". Lineage: Eukaryota; Viridiplantae; Streptophyta; Magnoliopsida; Rosales; Rosaceae. The record is from RNAcentral.